RNAcentral lists this transfer-messenger RNA (128 nucleotides) under Actinomycetota bacterium. RNAcentral's name for it is "Actinobacteria bacterium (freshwater metagenome) partial transfer-messenger RNA". It matches the Rfam family "transfer-messenger RNA", at positions 236 to 374 of the family's 374-position model. Rfam says of the family: Bacterial tmRNA, also known as 10Sa RNA or SsrA, is named for its dual tRNA and mRNA-like properties. Its role is to liberate the mRNA from a stalled ribosome. The record is from RNAcentral. Lineage: Bacteria; Bacillati; Actinomycetota.
UCGAGAUAGUUCCAUUUCUAGUUUUUCUAUCAACUAAAAUGGAAUGAAUAAAAAAAGAUAGAAUAUGUGUGUAGACGUUCACUGAAAUGUAGCUUCGGACCCGGGUUCGACUCCCGGCACCUCCACUC